RNAcentral lists this transfer RNA (77 nucleotides) under Mangrovicoccus algicola. Its description in RNAcentral is "Mangrovicoccus sp. HB182678 tRNA-Arg". It matches the Rfam family "tRNA". Rfam says of the family: Transfer RNA (tRNA) molecules are approximately 80 nucleotides in length. Lineage: Bacteria; Pseudomonadati; Pseudomonadota; Alphaproteobacteria; Rhodobacterales; Paracoccaceae. The record is from RNAcentral.
GGCCCCGUAGCUCAACUGGAUAGAGCAGGUGACUUCUAAUCACCAGGUUCCGGGUUCAAGUCCUGGCGGGGUCGCCA